Molecule: long non-coding RNA, 929 nt
Organism: Salvelinus fontinalis (brook trout)
Lineage: Eukaryota; Metazoa; Chordata; Actinopteri; Salmoniformes; Salmonidae
Exons: 3
Source: RefSeq, a predicted model, not a curated record
ACACUAUGCACAACCAAAGGCUCUUUUAAGAGGGUGCUGUUCCCUGGCAACACCAUAGACUACACUAUGCACUUUUAAGAGCCAUUCACAUUGCAAUACGUGUAUUAUUCCAUUUACUUAGCUAUGUCAAUUGCAGUUAUUCAAUUCACAGUUUCUCUCCCUUUGAUUUCUACUUCUUAGGUGAGGGUGCUGUUUAGGUAAGGGUUUGAUAUCUGUGCAAAAACAAAACAGGCUAUUUUAAAUCACCCAUAUUGAAGAAAUGUAGAACAAUUAGACACCCUAUAACCCACACCUACACACUCAUGUAUCAAUCUGAUUGAUGGAUUGUGUUGUGCAGUAAGCAGGCUCAGGUGUAUAACUGUGGCUCCUUCCACCUUCAAAGAAUAGGCAAGAGGGCCAACCAUAGAGAAUAGUAAGACACUUCAUUAUUUCUAUAACUAUGCUAUAAUUGUUUGUCCUCUUGUGUCCGUUCAUGUUUUUCAGCAUAAAGUACUCUGCAGCCACUUAGUGUGGUGUGGACACCAGGUUAUAUCAGCUGUGUCGGUGAACCCCUCCUGCAUCUGGACUGGCUACAUAGAGGGCACAGCAUGAUCAGAGAUAUGUUUUGAUGUGAGAGGAUGCCAACCCCUAGUCCCAUCAUCGCCACCUCACCCUCUUUUAAGAUCACCUUUGGGCCAACUAGAGACACUGUUAUGUAAUUGUGAUGAACUGAGAGAAUAUUUAUGUAGCACUGUGAUUCGUUAAUCAUGUGCUGCCUUCCCUGCUCCUAUGUGCUUACCUCUUUCCCUUUCUGUCUUUUACACCUCUCUCUCCACCUCCUCUUUCUUCCUCUGUUUUUAUAAUGCACAACAGAUGUGCAUUGAAGUACAGAUUGAACUUGUAUUUAUAACACUUGGAUAAUGAGCUUUUCAAUAAAGCGUUUCACAUUC